GAUGAACGCUGGCGGCGUGCCUAAUACAUGCAAGUCGAGCGAACAGACGAGGAGCUUGCUCCUCUGACGUUAGCGGCGGACGGGUGAGUAACACGUGGAUAACCUACCUAUAAGACUGGGAUAACUUCGGGAAACCGGAGCUAAUACCGGAUAAUAUAUUGAACCGCAUGGUUCAAUAGUGAAAGACGGUUUUGCUGUCACUUAUAGAUGGAUCCGCGCCGCAUUAGCUAGUUGGUAAGGUAACGGCUUACCAAGGCAACGAUGCGUAGCCGACCUGAGAGGGUGAUCGGCCACACUGGAACUGAGACACGGUCCAGUCUCCUACGGGAGGCAGCAGUAGGGAAUCUUCCGCAAUGGGCGAAGGCCUGACGGAGCAACGCCGCGUGAGUGAUGAAGGUCUUCGGAUCGUAAAACUCUGUUAUUAGGGAAGAACAAAUGUGUAAGUAACUAUGCACGUCUUGACGGUACCUAAUCAGAAAGCCACGGCUAACUACGUG
RNAcentral lists this ribosomal RNA (497 nucleotides) under uncultured bacterium. RNAcentral describes it as "partial 16S ribosomal RNA". It matches the Rfam family "Bacterial small subunit ribosomal RNA", at positions 28 to 507 of the family's 1533-position model. The record is from RNAcentral.